RNAcentral lists this ribosomal RNA (403 nucleotides) under uncultured bacterium. RNAcentral describes it as "partial 16S ribosomal RNA". It matches the Rfam family "Bacterial small subunit ribosomal RNA", at positions 28 to 526 of the family's 1533-position model. The record is from RNAcentral.
GACGAACGCUGGCGGCGUGCCUAAUACAUUCAAGUCGAACGCAGUGGGGACGGGUGAGUAACACGUGGGUCACCUCCCAUCAGAGGGGAUAACACUUGGACACAGGUGCUAAACCGCUACUGCUGGAUGGAACCGCGUUGCAUUAGCUAGUUGGUGAGGUAACGGCUCACCAAGGCCACGAUGCCUAGCGGACUGGAGAGGGGGAUCGGACACACGGUGACGGAGACAAGGCCAAGAAUCCUACGGUAGGCAGCAGUAGGGAAUUGUCGGCAAUGGACGAAAGUCUGACCGAGAAAAGCCUGGUGAGUGAAGAAGGUUUGCGGAUCGUAAAACUCUGUUGGUAGAGAAGCGGUAGCUAACCAGAAAGCCACGGCGAACUACGUGCCAGCAGCCGCGGUAAUAC